GUGCCGGUCUUGAGAGUGAAGCAAAUGUUGGGGAGGAACCAGAAAUUUGUGAUGAUAAUGAUAGAGAUACAUCUUCUCAGGCUGAACACACCGAGGAACCCGGUGUAAGUGUACGUACAUUUGUCUUUCUUAUUUCCCGUGUACGUAUAAGUACUGAUUGUUUCAGACAUAACAAAAUAGAGGAUAUAGCCGAUGAAAUUGAUAACUACUGCCACAGGUUGAUGCGGGAGAUGUACCCAAUGUAGUUCCAGAGAGUAAAGUGGAUGACUCAGUACUUGAGGGCACCCCUAGUGAUCCCCCUUCACCAUUUGCAGUAGUUAAGAAUGUAAGCUAACUAUAUUUAUAAAUAAAAUAGUGUAGGCUUGUUUAAAUUUAUAAUCUUCUAUUAUGCAGGUGUUACAGGAGUUGGCAACGAAAGCCUCCAUGGAUGUGGAU
This 435-nucleotide long non-coding RNA is filed under the name Arabidopsis lyrata. RNAcentral describes it as "long non-coding RNA (ALYR_LNC003279)". The record is from RNAcentral. Lineage: Eukaryota; Viridiplantae; Streptophyta; Magnoliopsida; Brassicales; Brassicaceae.